This 405-nucleotide ribosomal RNA is filed under the name uncultured bacterium. RNAcentral describes it as "bacterial SSU rRNA". It matches the Rfam family "Bacterial small subunit ribosomal RNA", at positions 356 to 773 of the family's 1533-position model. The record is from RNAcentral.
GGGGAAUAUUGCACAGUGGGCGCAAGCCUGAUGCAGCGACGCCGCGUGAGGGAUGACGGCCUUCGGGUUGUAAACCUCUUUCAGUAGGGAAGAAGCGAAAGUGACGGUACCUGCAGAAGAAGUGCCGGCUAACUACGUGCCAGCAGCCGCGGUAAUACGUAGGGCGCAAGCGUUAUCCGGAUUUAUUGGGCGUAAAGAGCUCGUAGGCGGUUUGUCGCGUCUGCCGUGAAAGUCCGGGGCUUAACCCCGGAUCUGCGGUGGGUACGGGCAGACUAGAGUGAUGUAGGGGAGACUGGAAUUCCUGGUGUAGCGGUGAAAUGCGCAGAUAUCAGGAGGAACACCGAUGGCGAAGGCAGGUCUCUGGGCAUUAACUGACGCUGAGGAGCGAAAGCAUGGGGAGCGAAC